GCAGAAGGUGGCAAAGG
Molecule: unclassified non-coding RNA, 17 nt
Filed under: Mus musculus (house mouse)
Lineage: Eukaryota; Metazoa; Chordata; Mammalia; Rodentia; Muridae
Description: oocyte_clustered_small_RNA1425
Source: RNAcentral